RNAcentral lists this ribosomal RNA (488 nucleotides) under Vreelandella arcis. RNAcentral's name for it is "bacterial SSU rRNA". It matches the Rfam family "Bacterial small subunit ribosomal RNA", at positions 1 to 488 of the family's 1533-position model. Lineage: Bacteria; Pseudomonadati; Pseudomonadota; Gammaproteobacteria; Oceanospirillales; Halomonadaceae. The record is from RNAcentral.
UUUUAGAGUUUGAUUCCUGGCUCAGAUUGAACGCUGGCGGCAGGCCUAACACAUGCAAGUCGAGCGGUAACAGAUCCAGCUUGCUGGAUGCUGACGAGCGGCGGACGGGUGAGUAACGCAUAGGAAUUUACCCGAUAGUGGGGGAUAACCUGGGGAAACUCAGGCUAAUACCGCAUACGUCCUACGGGAGAAAGGGGGCCUUGGCUCCCGCUAUCGGAUGAGCCUAUGCCGGAUUAGCUGGUUGGUGAGGUAAUGGCUCACCAAGGCGACGAUCCGUAGCUGGUCUGAGAGGAUGAUCAGCCACAUCGGGACUGAGACACGGCCCGAACUCCUACGGGAGGCAGCAGUGGGGAAUAUUGGACAAUGGGGGCAACCCUGAUCCAGCCAUGCCGCGUGUGUGAAGAAGGCCCUCGGGUUGUAAAGCACUUUCAGCGAGGAAGAACGCCUGGCGGUUAAUACCCGCCAGGAAAGACAUCACUCGCAGAAGA